AGGGUUUUCGAUCCCAUUGUAUAUGGCGAUUAUCCUCCUGAAAUGCGUCAUUAUCUUGGAAGUGUAUUGCCAAGCUUUUCACAGGAAGAAAUCAGCAUUGAAAAAGAAAGUAUAGAUUUAAUUGCCAUUAACCAUUGUUCAACAUUAUAUGCCAAGGAUUGCAUCCAUUUUGCUUGAAUCCCAGGCUGGGAUCGCCCUAUCCGAGGCUUUGUAUACACCACAGGAGAGAGAGAUGGUGUUCUGAUCGGAGACCCGAAAUGGAGCUGAUGUUCGUGGGUAUUUCGUGCGGAGCAUGAUCGACAACUUCGAAUGGAUCGAUGGUUACAGUGUGCGGUAUGGACUUUACUAUGUUGAUCGCCAAACUCUUAAACGCAUGCCAAAGCUUUCUGCUAAGUGGUAUAAAAAUUUCCUCACAGUUGAUGCUACUAGCAAUAGCAAUAGCAGCAAUAUUUUCAAAAGGAAAAAUAUCAUGAGCACUGUAUCACAAGCCUCAAAAGCAGAAAUAUAAUAGUUAUGCAUUUAUACGAGAUUCUAACUUA
This is a long non-coding RNA of Hevea brasiliensis (rubber tree), 539 nucleotides long. RefSeq lists it as uncharacterized. The record is from RefSeq and is a predicted model, not a curated record. NCBI's taxonomy places the organism in Eukaryota, Viridiplantae, Streptophyta, Magnoliopsida, Malpighiales, Euphorbiaceae. The transcript is spliced from 2 exons.